GACCUCUGGAGGUCAUCUGGUACAACCCCUCUGCCCAAGCAGGGCCGUCUAGAGCAGUUGCCCAUGUGGACAUAGGCUGUACGGUUCUGCCUGUUCUUGGCAACUAUUGUGUUAAUUUGUCAUUUUAAGUUCAGCUUUGGCUGACUGCCUGGUGCCUCAGGACUGAUGUGAAUGACCCUCGCCACAUGAUGCAGAAUCCUCAAAACAUGAGUCAAAGGGUUGGACAGACAGCAACCACUGCUCUCUGCAAGCUGGAUGCAACCAGACUGCACCAUACAGCAU
RNAcentral lists this long non-coding RNA (282 nucleotides) under Pavo cristatus (Indian peafowl). RNAcentral's name for it is "lncRNA (ENSPSTG00000014869.1)". Lineage: Eukaryota; Metazoa; Chordata; Aves; Galliformes; Phasianidae. The record is from RNAcentral.